Molecule: long non-coding RNA, 303 nt
Filed under: Androctonus crassicauda
Lineage: Eukaryota; Metazoa; Arthropoda; Arachnida; Scorpiones; Buthidae
Source: RNAcentral
GUCUCCUGGCCUGCAAGCGGGCAGGGUGCUUUUACUUUAGUCUUUGGCUCAGAAUCCCCUCUGGUGAACUCACCACCACUGCACUGUAAAUCAACGUCGUGAUCCUGUAUUGCUGUAACCCAAUCGUUCUUACGUUGACUUUACUCUGCCAGCUUCGGGAGUCAGUCCUGAUCUUGUACGUGGUUUGGGUUAUAACAAUGGCAAAGCCCCCUGAUGCUUUUGUAACUUCCUCUAAAAGGGAAAUGAUGGACAGAGAAGAAAAUGUGGUGGCUGGAGUGUUGUUUUUUUUUUUAAAUAAAUUGC